Molecule: ribosomal RNA, 449 nt
Filed under: uncultured bacterium
Lineage: Bacteria
Description: partial 16S ribosomal RNA
Rfam family: Bacterial small subunit ribosomal RNA
Source: RNAcentral
AAUGAACGCUGGCGGCAGGCCUAACACGUGCAAGUCGAACGGAUCCUUCGGGAUUAGUGGCGGACGGGUGAGUAACGCGUGGGAACAUACCCAAAGGUACGGAAUAGCCUCGGGAAACUGGGAGUAAUACCGUAUGUGCUCGAAAGAGGAAAGAUUUAUCGCCUUUGGAUUGGCCCGCGUUGGAUUAGGUAGUUGGUGGGGUAAUGGCCUACCAAGCCGACGAUCCAUAGCUGGUUUGAGAGGAUGAUCAGCCACACUGGGACUGAGACACGGCCCAGACUCCUACGGGAGGCAGCAGUGGGGAAUCUUAGACAAUGGGGGAAACCCUGAUCUAGCCAUGCCGCGUGAUCGAUGAAGGCCUUAGGGUUGUAAAGAUCUUUCAGGUGGGAAGAUAAUGACUGUACCACCAGAAGAAGCACCGGCUAACUACGUGCCAGCCGCCGCAGUAA